This 4121-nucleotide small RNA is filed under the name Histoplasma capsulatum var. duboisii H88. RNAcentral's name for it is "Histoplasma capsulatum H88 hypothetical RNA". The record is from RNAcentral. Lineage: Eukaryota; Fungi; Ascomycota; Eurotiomycetes; Onygenales; Ajellomycetaceae.
ACCAACAAUUCGAGCGAUUUGAUCUACCCCAUUUGGUCCCGUAACUUGUUUCGAAAACCUUUGGCAAAUGCCUGCCCAGCAGCACUAAACGUGUUCGCGGAACCUCAAUAUUUAGACCAUUUGUUUUCGGAAGCGAAGCGCAGCCCUUUGACCCGGCAAAACGACCCCCAAACGCGCCCGAAGACCACACCCACCAGUGGCGUGUAUUCGUCAAAGGUGUCAACGAUGAAGACAUCUCAUACUGGUUGAAAAAGGUGCAGUUCAAACUGCAUGAGACCUAUGCGCAGUGUGUGCGCACCAUCGAAUCGCCACCGUUCGAGGUCACAGAGACAGGAUGGGGUGAGUUUGAGAUACAGAUCAAGUUAUACUUCGUUCCAGAGUCGACAGAGAAACCGCAAACGUUAUGGCACAGUCUGAAGCUGCAUCCGUACGGGGAUGACAUCGAGGGGAAAAGAGAGAGGCGAGAUGUCAUUGUGGCACAGAAUUACGAAGAGGUUGUGUUUAAUGAGCCCGUUGAACAAUUUUAUGAUCUUCUUACGGGCGGAACAGGAGUAGUGCAGCAACCUCCUAAAGGAAAAGCAGGGAAGGGGGCUAAGCAGCCACAAACGCAACCGGGGAGGACAGCGGAAAUCCCUUACUCGGAUAGCCCGAAGAAUCCGUACAGUCAAAAGACAGAGGCGAAGGAGCUGGAUAGGUUGGCCGAGGCUAUCAAGACUGUGGAUCAGAUGCUGAAGGAAGAAAAAGCAAAGCUGGCGGAGCGGGAAGCUAAAUUGGAUGAGCUGAGGAAGAGUGAGGGUGUGACGACCGUGGUGAAGAAGAAAUAGACGUUUCUCUUGCCAUUCUGUUUUUGCAAUUCGAAGAAUUAUCAAGUCAUUGGAACAAUUGCAAAUUCCUUCUCCUUUCCAGAAGGUGGGAGUACGACGACACUAUGUAACAUUGGCGGCCUAUGUAUGGUAGAGAUACUUACAGGCUGCCAUCACUGGACCUGAAAUACCGGUCUCUAAUUAUCCUUUUGGAACGAAUCCUCGACAUUUCGCAAGCCAGUUCCCAAAUCAACAUGCAUUAACAUCAUUCUUAUUACUGGCCCAGCUUCUCAGCCGACUCUUGAAUGGGCACGGAUACCUCUACGCUUCUCAACCGCUCUUCAAUCGCCUCCAAACACAAAAAUCCCAAAAUUUCAUCCAUUCAUUUCUAAUUCCUUGAGACUUGGAUCUGAGAACGUGUCUAUUGAGGAAAUAUCGGCAUCUUAAAUAUUCAGGCCAUUUGGAGGGAUUUUCCGGGACGAAUUGGCCGCGCAGGCACCGGACGUAUACAUUGGUGCUCCUGAGACGCUCCUGUAUUUCCACCGGCCAUUUACGGGAAAGUCAGUAGUGAACUAUUCCAUCCGCUACAUUGUACGCUCUAUGGGGGAUUGGCCAGGUUCAAGGCCUUCCCUUUUGUGACGAGAUAUAGUUUAGUAUUGUCUAGGAGGCAAUGUCUUAAUAAAGGUAUAUAUUUCUAUCGCACCGGUUUCACAAAACAAACGUACGUGUACGUGCAUCUAUUCUUCUCUCAGUGUGGUUUCAGUGGCCGCAGGGUCAUGCUUCCAAAAAUUUCGAACAGCAAACGUCGAAAGUUUUAUAGAGAAUGCAACCAAAGAUGAUUUUGCGGAGAAAAACUUCAAAGAGAAAAAGGAAAACAACCGAAGAAAUGCAACUUCUACUUCACGACACUGAACAUCGCCAAUAGUACAUUUAUUCAUAUAUACAUGAAUCCCGCAUCAUCGAUCCACAUCCAAAAUCUACUCUUUCGAUCCAAACACCUUGACUCUCUCCUCCAAUGGUUUGAAUGUUUUCUCCGUCAGUUCAUCCGUUGAAGUGCCGAAGACCAUUUGAGCGACCAGCUUCCAUUCAGCAGGGAGGGACCAGGUCUUGGCAACAGUGUCGUCGAUUAAGGGGUUGUAAUGUUGUAAGUUUGCGGCGAGGCCAACGGAUCGAAGGGCGAGCCAGACUGUAUUCGAUAACUGUCAGAUAAGUGGGCUUCGCAGACAUGGCCAAAAUAGAAACACCUGCGAGGGGAAUUUUUAAAAGAACAACAAGGAGAAGAGCGAAGGACUACGAACGGAAAUACUGAUGCAUGGCAUUCGUAUGCUGUGCCCAAGGGGCAAAUUGAUCUCUAUAUGUCGGAAACUUCUCCGCCAUUGGCGCGAUGUGUUCCGGAUCUUCGAAGAAAAGAAUCUAUACGGGUGCAGACGAUUUAGGUUAGUUAACAAGGAUUUACGCAACCCGAUUUCUUUUGCCCAGAAAAGAACGGCAAUGGGGAGGAAAUACGUACAGUACCAUACGCUGCCCUGAAUCCUUGCAACUUGGGCUUCGUAUGGGUCUCCCACAUUUCCUUCGACAUCUUCCCCGGGGCUACCUUCGACUCCACAAAUAUUUUUAUCGCUGCAUCCCACAGUUUUCUAUGCUCUUCAUGCAACAGAAGCACAAGACGAGUGGAUUGUGUAUUGAAACUACUUGGCACAUGCAGGAUGGCACUCUUUACCAACUCUUGGAUUUCGGAGUCUGGUACUGGACUUGAGGCGGAGAGCGUGUAGACUGAGCGCCGUGCUUUGGCGAGUUCUAUGAAAGCGGCGGCGGUAGCGGCGGGGAUAAGAGGCUUAGGCUCUGCGACAGUCAUUUUGUUUUCUGAGGCUGUUUUCCGGUUCUGAUUCUGGUGCUGUGGAAUACUGCGGCGAUAGCGAGAACGCACAAAGACAAGUUCCGGUCAGACUCUAGGCGAUAUAUGCUGGCGAUCUAUGGGAAGGAUGAUUCGCGAAAUGCUUAAGGGGCAUUAAGUAGGAAAGGAAUUCCUUUGCAGUUGUUAUGGAUGAGCACAUGAUGAACGGGCCAGGGAGAGGAGCUCGAUUUAUAGAACAGUGCUCGCGGGGUCCAAGAACAGUGAAGCCAAGGUACCGAGCUUCCUCAUGAGGGGAUUGUCAGAAUAUCAAUUAUUCAUGAAUGACAAAUUGAGCAGUCCUCGAAGACCAGAUAUGAAACAAAGUCUCCAAAGAAAAUAUAGAAACUUCUCCGAAUGUAGCUAGCUUCAGUUUCCAACUCCAAUUGUCCAGUUGUUGACCCGAGGUUUUUCGGGCCCAGCACGGAAUGCUCCAUCGUGGUGCGCUUCUGCCCCAAAUGACAUUACCAAUGCUUAACAAAUGCUUAACUAUUCCCAGUGAACAUAGUUAACCUUGCCCUCGGCGUUAGGAUUUAACCCGCUCGGCACUUUUGACUUUUCCGAGGCCGAGAAUUCUCCGAUUCCUAAUUAUUAUAUGCGAAUGAUGACAAGAAAGAUUGGAAUCCGUUUCAUGAGCUGCUCCUGUCCAACAAGCACACUUUAAUGGCAUUGAAUAACCAUAGAGGACGAAUUAAUAAUGAUAAUACUUAUCACAAUGGACGCUGAUAGUAACAUAUGGAUAAAAGGGGAGAAAUAUCGAUUUCUUUGGUAAAAAAAAUUAUGAAAAAAAGGAAAAAAACAGAAAACUCCAAGCCCCACUCACUAUUAAAGAAAGGGACCUCAAAGAAGAAUAUCUAAUAUACAAUGUGCAUUACCCACCUUUAAUGAGAAGGGCACGAAGACGGUAUGGCCCCAUGCGCCUUAAUCCAAUAAAUGAUCUCGCCGGUAUUAUUGUACGGAUAGUUGUCCCUCUGUUUCCUAUGUUUCCCUCUCCGCAAACGCAGGGAAGCCAGCUCGCGGACCCUGUAAUGAGCAUUCGCUAGAUUUUUGGUCCGGAUGAGUGCCGCUAUACCACCCGCCUUCAAUGAGUCGACUUUCCGUCUCUCGCCAAUACUGCAGUUUCCCGCCGAUUCCACUCUUGAAAUCAAGAUCUCCCAAGCGCGCUUCGAGUGGUUGAAGUUCGUCGAGUGGAACCUUAACAAACAUGGUGCAAUCCCUCAGCGUCAUGGAAAUAGCACGCUCCCGAAAAUUUGCCUUUAAACCAGGGAGGCCUACUGCAUUCAUCUGGCGCUGACACUCUUGCAGUUUAAGCAGGGUGCUAUUUCGAUGCAAGAACGCGGCGACACGCUCUCUCCCGUGACCUCCACGGAUAAACCGUGUCGCACGUAAUACAUCUUCAAAGUUAUCCGAAACCAAAUCAAGCGGGC